This 141-nucleotide ribosomal RNA is filed under the name Alphaproteobacteria bacterium. RNAcentral describes it as "partial 23S ribosomal RNA". It matches the Rfam family "Bacterial large subunit ribosomal RNA", at positions 2772 to 2925 of the family's 2925-position model. The record is from RNAcentral. Lineage: Bacteria; Pseudomonadati; Pseudomonadota; Alphaproteobacteria.
UGAAAGCAUCUAAGCGGGAAGCCUCCCUCGAAACUAGAAUUCCCUGAGAGUCGUGGAAGACCACCACGUUGAUAGGCCGGGUGUGGAAGCGCAGCAAUGUGUGAAGCUUACCGGUACUAAUAGCUCGAUAGGCUUGACCAU